This is a long non-coding RNA of Psammomys obesus (fat sand rat), 280 nucleotides long. RefSeq lists it as uncharacterized. The transcript has 2 exons. NCBI's taxonomy places the organism in Eukaryota, Metazoa, Chordata, Mammalia, Rodentia, Muridae. The record is from RefSeq and is a predicted model, not a curated record.
UGCUUUAGUUUCCUCAUCUGAAUAGAACGGAAAGCUAACCUGUGAUCACCCCAUGGAACAGCGGCGAGGACAGCCACUGUGUACCUGAGUCCCUGGAGUCAGAGUUGGCAAGAUGGAUCAGAGGGUAAAGGUGUUUGCUGUCAACUCUGAUGACUUGAGUUUGAUCUCCAGGGCCCACAGAACCAACUGCUGCAAGUUGUCCUCUGAUCUCAACAUAUGUGCCAUGGCAUAUGCACACACGUGCAUACACAACAAAUGAAUGAAUAAAUGAAUGAAUGAA